UACGGGAGGCAGCAGUGGGGAAUAUUGCACAAUGGGCGCAAGCCUUAUGCAGCCAUGCCGCGUGUAUGAAGAAGGCCUUCGGGUUGUAAAGUACUUUCAGUCGUGAGGAAGGUGUUAAGGUUAAUAACCUUAGCAAUUGACGUUAGCGACAGAAGAAGCACCGGCUAACUCCGUGCCAGCAGCCGCGGUAAUACGGAGGGUGCGAGCGUUAAUCGGAAUUACUGGGCGUAAAGGGCACGCAGGCGGUUAAUUAAGUUGGAUGUGAAAUCCCCGGGCUUAACCUGGGAAUGGCAUUCAAGACUGGUUAGCUAGAGUCUUGUAGAGGGGGUAGAAUUCCAUGUGUAGCGGUGAAAUGCGUAGAGAUGUGGAGGAAUACCGGUGGCGAAGGCGGCCCCGUGGACAAAGACUGACGCUCAUGUGCGAAAGCGUGGGGAGCAAACGAGGGAUUAGAUACC
Molecule: ribosomal RNA, 455 nt
Filed under: uncultured bacterium
Lineage: Bacteria
Description: bacterial SSU rRNA
Rfam family: Bacterial small subunit ribosomal RNA
Source: RNAcentral